UGUCUCUGUCUGUGCCACGUCUUAGUUACCAGUCAUGUUUUGUUUCCAGUUUUAGGUUUAUUCAAGUGUUUUGUUGGUUAUCUGUUGUGGGACUUUGUUUUGUUUGGUUUAUCCAUGUUCCUUGUUUGCCCCUUUUUUUUGGAAAUUAAAUAUAACUUUUUGAGACUCCUGUACUCAUGCCUUGCCUACCUGCUUCCCCGCACUUGGGUCCUCCAUGUUUUUGCCUCGUCUUCCUCGCUUUCCAAAAAACAAUCGUGACAUGAAACCAGCGACCCAAAUGAGAAUAAGCAGUAUAGAAAAUGGAUGGACGUUAUCUGAAGUAUAAGCAAACCCACAUUUGAAUCAGUCAGACUCCAGCAUCAAAUUAAUUAAGCACUUAGUGGCGAUAAAGACGGAGCAUCACUCAACCCUUCUCAUCUCAAGUUCAUCAUCAUCUAAUGCUUGAAAUGAAUCCAAAGACACGAGGCACAUGCUUCGAACACAUUUGGUGCGGCAAACAAUCAGGGCUCCUUGACUGGUCGCAAGCAGAGCGGCAAGUGUGCUUAAUGAGCUUGCUCGGGGCAGCUAUGGGGACUGCUUAUUGAUUGGAACUGCCCGGCCCGCCUGUCCACGGCUGUGGGUGAGAGAACCUGAGGACACAGCUUCCCAGAGUCCAGAUGCAGCCAUAGUGCAUCCUCCCCUGCACAACCACUGCCCCCCUCCACACAGCAUGCUGCUCAGAAACACACAAACAGGCAUGGGCGCACAAACUAACAAGCGGAGACAUAAACUAGCAGACAGCCUCCCACGUGAUCAAUGAAGCGGUCGGGCGUUUUAAAUAAAAUCCAGCAAAGAUUUCACAGAUAUAAAAUAAAGACACGGGACCAUUCAUUCGUUGUCUCGUUGGGGUUCCUGCAAGCACAGAUCUGCCUGCUUGCUUGUGUGCGAGGAGUAUUGAGGAGCGGGCCGAGGAAGAGUGAUGGGGGUCAGGCUUCAGAGUAGUUGGCAGCCCUUACGAACCUCACAACCCCCCAUUCUGACAAGCUGUCCAGGGCACAGUUUGUUUGCACAAGGUGAUAAAUAAUUUGGCCUGCACUGACAUGGAUUAAUAUGCCCCUUAGCCCCUUUUCCUCCCUCUGCGUUUGGUCACACAAAUGUUUGCCCCCUACAAAUUGUGAGCGCUCCAUAGUGAAAUGUGCCGUACCAAGACAUGAACCACUUCCUGCGAUAUGAACUUCAGCUCACAACACAAUCCAUUCUGAGACAUUGCUUUGUCUUUGGCUUUUUUUUUGCAUCUCAUAUUCAGAAAGAAGGAGCAGCCUCAACAUCAUUCUCUACUCCAUAAUCACUUGGGAUUUUUUAUAUAGUGGACUUUAUAGUUGACUUUCUUCAUUAUCUUUUUUUUAUUUAAAACUAAAAGUGAUACGUUAAAAGAUGCAAAGAACUAAUAAGUACUGUAAUGAGUAGAUUUGCAUUCAGUGAUUUUUAUAUAAAAGACAUCUUGCUAUAAAAUGCGCAAGCGACCAGAAUCAGCUGAUUUAUUCAUGGCCAACGAACACGUGUUCUCCCAUAAUGUGAGUGUAUGAUUAAAUGCUUGCAUCAUAAACA
Molecule: long non-coding RNA, 1587 nt
Organism: Phyllopteryx taeniolatus (common seadragon)
Lineage: Eukaryota; Metazoa; Chordata; Actinopteri; Syngnathiformes; Syngnathidae
Exons: 4
Source: RefSeq, a predicted model, not a curated record